CAUUAAGAAGCUAUGCAGCCUUAACCUUUUAAGUUAAAGACCGAGAGUGCUCAAUCUCUCCUUAAUGG
Molecule: transfer RNA, 68 nt
Filed under: Potos flavus (kinkajou)
Lineage: Eukaryota; Metazoa; Chordata; Mammalia; Carnivora; Procyonidae
Description: tRNA-Lys
Source: RNAcentral